AUAUGAAACUCUCUAUUAUAUUGGGGUUCCCCACUGACUUCUUCCAGAAUUGCAUCAGCACCUUUUGAUCCAGUCCCAACAGAAGACAUCUAAUGAAAGAAAAUUUUUUGAAUUGCCUCAGCACAUUUGAACUAAUUGUGAAAAGAGAGACCUGACAAGGAUUACAGGGGAAAAAGGGGCACUAGGCUCAGAGAUGCAUCAAGUAUAUGGGUGCAUAGUACUCUGCACUUUGGCAAAGGUGAUAGUUCCUCCUUAACAAAUGCACUAUGAUUUUCCUCACCGGCUAUCUGUGUGCAUGUCUGAGGAGAUGAAGUGACACCCUCUCAUGCACACAUUGAAAGAUAACCAGAAUCAAAGGUGCCUUUACUUGGACUCUUUCUUCACGUGCAUCUGCAAGAAUGGGAAAAAAGGAAUAUCCUGGAGAAACACCAGGAACCCCCAACCUGUGUGUGCAUUUGUGACGGGUGAUGUGACAAUGAAUCCUCACUUAAAUGUUAAAGAAUGAAUACUAAGCUAAAUUAUUAAUACCUAAAGUGUCAUUACACUUCUGCAGCAUGACCUGUGCUGCUCCUCAUUGGCUUUGUCCCUUUGCUUGUCCAUCCUGUGGCACUAGGAAAUGCUGAGACUGAUGAAGGAGGCUAAGAAGAUAUGAUUGUCCCUAUAAGGAAUGAGGUAAUGAGUUCUUUGGGUACAUAAGCUACAAAGAAGCAGUGAGAAGCAAUACUGCUUCUCUUUUCUGCCCCUACCUCUCUUCCUUUUCACAUGCUGCAUAUUCAGGUAUUUAGGGAGUCCCCCGCACGCCCCUUAAGUGGUUUAUUAGCAAUCGCUCUUUGUAUUUUCCAUUUGUUACGUUUUUUUCUAUUCCGUUGUUGGAAUUUCUUUACACUUUGACUCUCACCAUCGCCACAUUUUAAACUUCUCCAACCAAAUCUCCUACCCACAAAAGAUGAGAAGCAUCAGUUUCCUUACAUAAAGACUCAUGAUGAAGAGGAAAGCAGAUUGUCUCUCCAAAGAAGAGCUGGGGGGAAGACAAGAUACACUGCAGCAACACAAAAAUUCUCUGGAAGGCCUUCCUCACUUAUACUGUAUUGCUGCAUCUGGGGUGAAUGUUGGAGUAGAGGAAGCACAAGAAACAGUUGCUC
Gopherus evgoodei (Goodes thornscrub tortoise) is the source of this 1142-nucleotide long non-coding RNA. RefSeq lists it as uncharacterized. Lineage: Eukaryota; Metazoa; Chordata; Testudines; Testudinidae. The record is from RefSeq and is a predicted model, not a curated record. The transcript is spliced from 4 exons.